This 1855-nucleotide long non-coding RNA is filed under the name Varroa destructor (honeybee mite). RNAcentral's name for it is "uncharacterized LOC111243542, transcript variant X1". The record is from RNAcentral. Lineage: Eukaryota; Metazoa; Arthropoda; Arachnida; Mesostigmata; Varroidae.
GGUACGUCGCCAGUCCUAGCCUGCCAUGCGGAUCCGUAAUGCCCGUCUAAAUCAGCCGUUUAAGUGUUGUCGUCGGCGGGCUGGGGGAGGUUGAGCUUUUGCCUAGGGGGCCCCUCAGUAAGAUCCAUAAUACGGUCGGAGAGACAAAAGGUAUCCGGAUGAUUGCUAGUCGCUAAACGUUCGUUGUUUAAUACAUUAAAGCGCUGUAAGUGAGUUGGCAUCACAGUCUUUAUUGCGCCCGUAGACCAAGUCUGUCAUAAUUCAACUGCAGUUUGUACAACGUAACGUAAACUGGGACCACCAAACGUCUACGUUUAUGCGUCCACAAAUCAGUAAGCGGACUAGUCAAGAUUCGGUGCCGUACCCGUGGAACGUAAAUCAGCAUGACGGGCAUCAUCUAAAACAACGCUGUUACACGAAUGUACUUGGUGGAAGCCUGUUUCACUGAUAUCUGCCUUCUCCAGCUGUACUUAUCUAAACGUCACUAUGGGGAUACCAUGUAAGAGUUAACCCGUGCAAUUGGUCGUACUCGUAUGGACACACAUCUGCAUCUGCAAUAUAACGUUUGCCGUCCGUAUAAACUGAGUCACUAUUCUACUAACAGUAGGGUCCGUCAGAAAUAUACGUUCAAUGACCUGCUCAAGCCCUUCGAGACAAUUGCGGUUCUGAUGACAGUGAAAAUUCUCAAGCUUAAACAUUUCUCUUCCUUAGCUACUUAACGUGUGUCGUUUAUAGCGUCAAGAGCUAUUACUUUUAAGUGAAACCUUGAAUCUAGAACAAUGUAGCGUAUGUACGGUUCAUCACUUACCGAUAUUAUGACUGAAUUAAUUGAAAACCAAAGUAUAGUCAAAACAUAUGGAUAAUCUGUUUUCCUUUAUAUAGUAAUAUGAAGUAAACUAAGUGCGAUACAAAAUGAAUCCAAAUGAAUGAGUAAAGAAGCAGCAGCGACCAUAACGACACCCAAGAAGUCAGCAACUUACCAAAGUAAAUCUUAUGAAAAUUUACGUUAUCGUAGAAAGAAACAACAGGUAGAAAGCCACAGUCAUUAGGACGAUAUUGCCUAUAUAUACAAGGUUGUUGUUUAGUGUUAUGUAUUGUCGCCGGUAGCGGAAACCUGGCAUAGAAACACUUGACAACGUCCUCCGUUAUUAAAGUCGUUUCUUUUUAGGAGCUACUUCUGUUUAAAAGAAUUUGCACAUUGCAUUUGAUCGCUAGAGAGUUAAAAAGCCCGUAGUUGUGAUUCUCUGAAUAAAACCGCUAAAGGCACAGGAUACCAUUUAGAGUAUGAGUCCUGAUGGAGAUCGACGAGACCGGGUGUACCCUAACCUAGCAGAUACCCGAAGCUGGGUCCGGAGACAUGAAGCAAAACUUCAGCCCGUCUUCGCCACCCUUUAUGGGGCAUGCAAAACAGGAAAGCGGUUUUAACGGUGGUGUGAACGGCAACAACCUUCCCCACAGACCUCUAAAAUGACCCAUAUUGCCUAUUCUAUGCUUGGCAGGCGACAGAGAGCUCGCGGGCUCGCCCUAAUCCAGUUCUUUUAACGUUAACACCUAAUUUAUCACUUGCUACUAAAUCCUGGUAACUUGCAAUCGUAUUAUGUAAAGCACACCAAGGUUGUUUGGGGUGUUGCAGUUGUCAUUUGACUAAUAUACAGACAUCAUGAUCGCUGCCGUUUCGCUCUAUUGAUUUCCUCGCCGCUGUUCUAUUCUCCUACCUAAAUCGACAUAUUAGCAAAGUCACCCAAAUAGGCUGACUGUUGUUUGUUGUCGGCUAACAGCCAAAGCGUGUUAGUUGGCAUAAUAGUUGGCUAUGAUGCACUGUUAGUGUCAAUAUACAAACACUGAUCCCCGUACA